ACAUAUUGUGAGCUCGAUGAGUAGGGCGGGACACGUGGUAUCCUGUCUGAAUAUGGGGGGACCAUCCUCCAAGGCUAAAUACUCCUGACUGACCGAUAGUGAACCAGUACCGUGAGGGAAAGGCGAAAAGAACCCCGGCGAGGGGAGUGAAAAAGAACCUGAAACCGUGUACGUACAAGCAGUGGGAGCACGCUUAGGCGUGUGACUGCGUACCUUUUGUAUAAUGGGUCAGCGACUUAUAUUCUGUAGCAAGGUUAACCGAAUAGGGGAGCCGAAGGGAAACCGAGUCUUAACUGGGCGUUAAGUUGCAGGGUAUAGACCCGAAACCCGGUGAUCUAGCCAUGGGCAGGUUGAAGGUUGGGUAACACUAACUGGAGGACCGAACCGACUAAUGUUGAAAAAUUAGCGGAUGACUUGUGGCUGGGGGUGAAAGGCCAAUCAAACCGGGAGAUAGCUGGUUCUCCCCGAAAGCUAUUUAGGUAGCGCCUCGUGAAUUCAUCUCCGGGGGUAGAGCACUGUUUCGGCAAGGGGGUCAUCCCGACUUACCAACCCGAUGCAAACUGCGAAUACCGGAGAAUGUUAUCACGGGAGACACACGGCGGGUGCUAACGUCCGUCGUGAAGAGGGAAACAACCCAGACCGCCAGCUAAGGUCCCAAAGUCAUGGUUAAGUGGGAAACGAUGUGGGAAGGCCCAGACAGCCAGGAUGUUGGCUUAGAAGCAGCCAUCAUUUAAAGAAAGCGUAAUAGCUCACUGGUCGAGUCGGCCUGCGCGGAAGAUGUAACGGGGCUAAACCAUGCACCGAAGCUGCGGCAGCGACGCUUAUGCGUUGUUGGGUAGGGGAGCGUUCUGUAAGCCUGCGAAGGUGUGCUGUGAGGCAUGCUGGAGGUAUCAGAAGUGCGAAUGCUGACAUAAGUAACGAUAAAGCGGGUGAAAAGCCCGCUCGCCGGAAGACCAAGGGUUCCUGUCCAACGUUAAUCGGGGCAGGGUGAGUCGACCCCUAAGGCGAGGCCGAAAGGCGUAGUCGAUGGGAAACAGGUUAAUAUUCCUGUACUUGGUGUUACUGCGAAGGGGGGACGGAGAAGGCUAUGUUGGCCGGGCGACGGUUGUCCCGGU
This 1115-nucleotide ribosomal RNA is filed under the name Escherichia coli. RNAcentral describes it as "partial 23S ribosomal RNA". It matches the Rfam family "Bacterial large subunit ribosomal RNA", at positions 392 to 1511 of the family's 2925-position model. The record is from RNAcentral. Lineage: Bacteria; Pseudomonadati; Pseudomonadota; Gammaproteobacteria; Enterobacterales; Enterobacteriaceae.